RNAcentral lists this microRNA precursor (78 nucleotides) under Schistosoma mansoni. Its description in RNAcentral is "mir-3492 microRNA precursor family". It matches the Rfam family "mir-3492 microRNA precursor family". The record is from Rfam by way of RNAcentral. Lineage: Eukaryota; Metazoa; Platyhelminthes; Trematoda; Strigeidida; Schistosomatidae.
AGUCUUCUGUAUCCGCGCUGAGAUUUUGUCACAUACCAGAUCACAGGGGCUGAUGUGACUCCCAAGAUAAGUGAAGCG